Hypoxylon sp. NC0597 is the source of this 89-nucleotide non-coding RNA. NCBI's taxonomy places the organism in Eukaryota, Fungi, Ascomycota, Sordariomycetes, Xylariales, Hypoxylaceae. The record is from the annotation of a GenBank genome assembly.
UCUCGAUUGGUCUAGUGGUCAGGAUACCUGCUUGUCAUCUACCGAAGACAAAGUCGCAGGUGGCCGGGGUUCGAUUCCCCGAUCGAGAG